UCCGGAGGGCAAGAGGUUCGACCCGAGCGAAGCGAGAAAACGUUGCGUCAGCAACGGCCCGCAGGGCGAGCCACGCAGUGGCAAGUCAUCCUCUGUCACCGGCAG
RNAcentral lists this small RNA (105 nucleotides) under Salmonella enterica subsp. enterica serovar Indiana. RNAcentral's name for it is "partial RtT sRNA". It matches the Rfam family "RtT RNA", at positions 31 to 130 of the family's 130-position model. From Rfam's summary of the family: This family represents a bacterial cis-regulatory element known as RtT RNA. Lineage: Bacteria; Pseudomonadati; Pseudomonadota; Gammaproteobacteria; Enterobacterales; Enterobacteriaceae. The record is from RNAcentral.